CUUUCCUACGGGAGGCAGCAGUGAGGAAUAUUGGUCAAUGGGCGGAAGCCUGAACCAGCCAAGUCGCGUGAGGGAAUAAGGCUCUACGGGUCGUAAACCUCUUUUGCCGGGGAGCAAGGGCGGGGACGUGUCCAGGCCCGGAGAGUACCCGGAGAAAAAGCAUCGGCUAACUCCGUGCCAGCAGCCGCGGUAAUACGGAGGAUGCGAGCGUUAUCCGGAUUUAUUGGGUUUAAAGGGUGCGUAGGCGGGCUGUUAAGUCAGCGGUAAAAAUUCGGGGCGCAACCCCGUCCGGCCGUUGAAUCUGG
RNAcentral lists this ribosomal RNA (305 nucleotides) under uncultured bacterium. RNAcentral's name for it is "bacterial SSU rRNA". It matches the Rfam family "Bacterial small subunit ribosomal RNA", at positions 334 to 636 of the family's 1533-position model. The record is from RNAcentral.